This is a long non-coding RNA of Athalia rosae (coleseed sawfly), 465 nucleotides long. RefSeq lists it as uncharacterized. The record is from RefSeq and is a predicted model, not a curated record. NCBI's taxonomy places the organism in Eukaryota, Metazoa, Arthropoda, Insecta, Hymenoptera, Athaliidae. The transcript has 3 exons.
GAUUUCACGACCUAUAAAUAAUUUGUGUAAAUUAAAAGUAUGCACUGAAGAAAUGGAACUACUCAGAAAACUAUUUCAAUUUUUGGAUUUAUUAAAAUAUUAGCUAAAAGCAAAGAGAAACUGAGAAACACCUGGUAGAUGGUGAUUAGAUUGGAUUGAGAAGCCCUACAUGCCACCAUGCUUCCGUACACAUCUACCUAUCUGCUAAUUGGUAAACGUGAAUAUAUGGCACGUGAGGUACACAGUCUAUACAAUCUUAAUGAUAUAUCAGCAGUCAAAUACAUCACGCUAUCUGCUGAUGUGAUAACACGCAAGGUCAAGUAAGCCACGAGACGUACACCACUGCCAAAUCUAAAGAAUUUUUUGAGAAAUAUUCGAUCGGUCGACAUGACAUCUGCUUGGAGAUCGUUUAAACAAUAUUACACCAAACACAACAACUAAUGGAUUAGAUUGAGAAACCAGUAC